This 72-nucleotide transfer RNA is filed under the name Candidatus Giovannonibacteria bacterium RIFCSPHIGHO2_01_FULL_43_100. RNAcentral's name for it is "tRNA-Arg". It matches the Rfam family "tRNA". Rfam says of the family: Transfer RNA (tRNA) molecules are approximately 80 nucleotides in length. RNAcentral also lists the same sequence under 5 other names. Lineage: Bacteria; Candidatus Giovannoniibacteriota. The record is from RNAcentral.
CUCCCCAUAGUUCAACGGAUAGAACGGCUCCCUUCUAAGGAGCAGAUCGAGGUUCGAUUCCUCGUGGGGAGA